ACGACGCCAACGUCAUACCAAUAUACAACCAAAAAAUUUCAAUUUUUGCGGUCUGUAAAAACCAGACUAUCAGAGCAAAUUUUUUUAACAAUUAUUUGUACAAAAUGUACUUAAGUCAUUGCUUUUACACCCUAGUAAAUUUAUAACCAGAUGCUCCGCAGGGCACAGCUUUAUACGACCGCUGAACGGUUGGGGCAAAUAUGGACACAACAUUCAAGCUGGAUUCAGCUCUAAAUUUGGAUUGUGAUUAAAUAGUUGACACAGCAUAGGUUUCUGACACAGAAUGAAUGUGGUCUAAUGCACUUAACAUUUUUGUUUUGCCUUUGAGCAAUUCACUAUGCUGUUGAAUAUUAAUCCUCUCAAAAAUAUGUUUGAAGAAAUUAUCUUUUUAUUUAUGAAAUCUGAAAUGAGAAAAAUUGACCCUCCCCCCCCCCCCCCAUUUUUUUUCCACAUCCCCCUUUCCCUUUUUCCAAAACUGAUCUCAAUUCAAAUUUCUAAUGGAGUUUGCAACAAUAACUACUCAUUUA
Molecule: long non-coding RNA, 527 nt
Filed under: Mytilus galloprovincialis (Mediterranean mussel)
Lineage: Eukaryota; Metazoa; Mollusca; Bivalvia; Mytilida; Mytilidae
Source: RNAcentral